AAUAUAUAAUACGGUUAGGGAUUCUUGGCCUCUCCUCGAUUCUAGGUCCUACGUGGCGUAUCUAAACAUUCAGUAUUCAAAAUUCCUACAUUUCUAGAGCUUCUGACAUAAUAUUAGUCAUCCUAUGUGGCAAAAUACAUCCUACAUGGCAUAUCUUAUUUUAAUUCUUAAAACACAAAAUUAAGUAUCUCUCCUCCCCAAAUUCAGUUCCCCUCAACCACCCCCCGUCUCCACACUACUCUCCCCUCCCCGUCUGAAUCAGCGCCGCCCCUCCUUCCUCCGCCGUGAAUCCCUCCCCUUCGUUUAUCUAUUAUUUCUGCAGCUCCACACCAGCCUCUCCCCUCUCCCGCGGCGAUUACUCCGGCCCCAACUCGGCACCGUGGCCCCUCCUUCCUGUUCCCGCGUAGCAAUUUCUCCCUCUCUUCCGCCGCGAUUCGCGUCACCGCCGCUGCCGCAAUCGCCAGAGAUCUACUCCGAUCUGCCACCGCGGCCCCUUCUUCCUGUCUCCGCGUAGCAAUUUCUCCCUCUCUUCCGUCGCGAUUCGCGUCACCGCCGCUGCCGCAAUCGCUAGAGAUCUGCUCCGAUCAGCCUCCCACUCCACCAAUUUCUUCAUUCUGCCUCCCACUGCGAUUCGCUUCACCGCGCCGGCCACCGCCGAGAUCGACAUAGUCCGCCACCUCGCCAUGGUAAGUAUUCAAUUAGGAAAUGUAAUUAUUGACUAUGAUCAGUGCUCAAUUUUAGAAUAAUGAAAUUUUGGAAAGAUUUACCAAUCGAUCAAUAAUCUGCCAAUUUUUAGGGUUUAGAUUUAACAAUGGAAAAUUAUUAUGCUAGGAAAGAUUACAUUUCAUUAUGAUUAGUACUAAAUUUUAGAAAUAUGAAAAUUUGGAAAGAUUUACCUAUUGAUUAAUAAUCAGCAAAUUCUUAGGGUUUAGAUUUAACAAUGGAAACUUUAUAACCUACAUUUUAGCUUAAAUUCAUUAGUUUGAAUGAGAAAUUUUAUUGCCGCAUUGAGUUUUACAGCAGCACAUUCUACUGUCUUCUUGCUUAUUACUCCUUUUGCUUAUUUUUCAAGGUAUACAUCAUAUCAAUUUUAUUUUAUUAAUGUUUUUUUUAACUCAAUUAUCAGAAUAUACGUAUGAUGAACAAUUUCGCAUAUUAAACUGUAUUUGAGAUUUGGAUUUCGAAUAGUAGUAUUUGAGCUAUAAAUUAUGCCUCGACUAUUGGCCGUCCUUGAGCCUGGAAACCGUUCGACGACGCGCAGUCGUGCCAUCGGCUCGGGUCCAGCGAACUGCCGUUGUUCUCCAAAACUCGGCGAGGGCCGUUGUUCAACCUUGCCUAGGUUAUGUUAUCUUGCUCGAGGAAGAAACGGAGAGUGCUCGGUUGUUCCCCUUGGCUGUUGCAAUACGAAGAGUUAGUUGGGAUAAGCUAAAGGCGAUGAGCUUCUCUCUAACUCAUUCCCAUAUAAGGAAAUCGAGAAUGGAAUGUUGUCAGAAGUAGAAGGAAAGUGGGUCAUUCAAGAGCAACCUCCUUUCGACAAAAAACAGUUCAUAUCAUACGUAAAGAAAUAUAUCAAGAACUUAAUCCCCAAGCUUCCUGAAGCCGAGAAACAAGAGCAGUUCAAGAAGGGUAUUGAAGGAGUUACAACCUUGGAAGUGAAGAAGGUUGCAGCAAGAGAUAUAGAGGAACAACCGAACUUAUUUGAGGCAACGAGUGCCGUUCUUUCUGCAGAACCAACCACCAGAUCAUAUUUGUAUAUAAAAUUGAGAUCUCGUAGGAUCAUUAGUGUAGUAGGUUUCUCCUUCGAAUUGGAUUUGUAUGUGUCUUCUCAGAUUACUAUGUGCCAUUAAUAAAUAUCUGUUAUUCAGUAA
This is a long non-coding RNA of Salvia miltiorrhiza (redroot sage), 1868 nucleotides long. RefSeq lists it as uncharacterized. NCBI's taxonomy places the organism in Eukaryota, Viridiplantae, Streptophyta, Magnoliopsida, Lamiales, Lamiaceae. The transcript has 3 exons. The record is from RefSeq and is a predicted model, not a curated record.